This 467-nucleotide ribosomal RNA is filed under the name uncultured bacterium. RNAcentral describes it as "partial 16S ribosomal RNA". It matches the Rfam family "Bacterial small subunit ribosomal RNA", at positions 28 to 507 of the family's 1533-position model. The record is from RNAcentral.
GAUGAACGCUGGCGGCGUGCUUAACACAUGCAAGUCGAACGGAAAGGCCCAAGCUUGCUUGGGUACUCGAGUGGCGAACGGGUGAGUAACACGUGGGUGAUCUGCCCUGCACUUCGGGAUAAGCCUGGGAAACUGGGUCUAAUACCGGAUAGGACCACUUCUUGGAUGUUGUGGUGGAAAGUUUUUUCGGUGUGGGAUGAGCUCGCGGCCUAUCAGCUUGUUGGGGGGGUAAUGGCCUACCAGGGCGUCGACGGGUAGCCGGCCUGAGAGAGUGUAAGGCCACAUUGGGACUGAGAUACGGCCCAGACGCGUACGGGAGGCAGCAGUGGGGAAGAUUGCACAAGGGGCGCAGGCCUGAUGCAGCGGCGCCGCGUGGGGGAUGACGGCCUUCGGGUUGUAAACUCCUUUCGCUAGGGACGAUGCGUUUUGUGACGGUACCUGGAGAAGAAGCACCGGCUAACUACGUG